AUGUCACCGACUUCCUUACUUUAUAAACCGCCCCCAGGAUUUUCCUCUUUUUCCCUGAGAAGCAGAUGAUCAGUCAUCCCUUUUAUGAACCUGCGAGAAAUGCUCGAUGAUCAUAAUUGGGUUUAAAACCUCUCGUAUCAUUGCAGCAUCAGCGUACCCAAAACCCCCAAUACAAAAAAACUAAUCUCUGAAUAUUUCGCAAAAUCCAUUCGUCUUCUUCAGCCUCUCUUCCUUUCUUCUUGCCAUUCAUCCACCCGAUAGCUGAUGGAACUCUAACCGAUCUCGCAAAUCCCGAUUCUAAAAGGGUCAUUUUCUUCCCUCUUUUCCUAUUUCAUGCUGUUGUUGCGCGAGGAAGAUUCUCGCUACUCGCUCCAUCAGUUCCCCAUGGCCGUGAGUGGGCACCAUGCCAUUCAGUUGUUGCCACACCUUUGCUUAUUGCAUUUGAACUUGUUCUUUGUAUCUUUCUAGAGAAUAGCUAUUAUACAUUGUUUCUAAGCCUCCACCUGUAAGCUUGCAAAUUGUCUUCCUUCCUCUGUUGGCAUUUGAAGUAGCCAUUCUUGUUGACAACUUCAUGUGAUUAUUUUUGAGUUUUAUGAAUGUAAUUGUCUUUGAAGAAUUUGUAAAAAAAAUACAAGUUGCAGAUUCUGGACGAGAAUGCAUGUAAUACUUGUAGAUAAAUUCCUAAUUACCAUAUUUGACUUUUGUUUUAUAGCUG
Molecule: long non-coding RNA, 715 nt
Filed under: Helianthus annuus (common sunflower)
Lineage: Eukaryota; Viridiplantae; Streptophyta; Magnoliopsida; Asterales; Asteraceae
Source: RNAcentral